RNAcentral lists this long non-coding RNA (811 nucleotides) under Phascolarctos cinereus (koala). RNAcentral's name for it is "lncRNA (ENSPCIG00000021559.2)". The record is from RNAcentral. Lineage: Eukaryota; Metazoa; Chordata; Mammalia; Diprotodontia; Phascolarctidae.
CCUGGGUCCAGGAUUUCCCCUCCCUGGAGGUCUUCAUGCAAAAGCUGGUUGCUUGCGCAGGACUUCAGAUUCUUAGUCCAGUACAGGUUGGCUCAGAUGGCCUCUGAGGGUCCCAUGGUGCUGAUAUCUUUGACCUUGCUGGUACAGGUACUGUCCCUCCCGGUCAUUGAGCCCAACCCUUCUACGACAGGCAGUCUUGAGAGUAUGCAUGGCUGGAAAGUUACCAUCAUUCCGAAGAAGAGCUCCUCUGCCCUUCACUGGCAGGCCCUCCAAUAACGGAAAGAAUCUAUCCCUGGGUCUGCGUCCUCAGUGGCAGGGCCACCGAGAACCCAGCAGCACCUGCAUCCCACAAGAGGGAAGACUCCAGCAUAGCCUUUUAGAAUCUGCCCUCCUGACUGAACACAAAGCCCAGCCCACUCCCACCAUCAUCCAAGCCACUAUGGAGCCUACUCCAUUAACGGAAAGUGAAGUUGGAGCAAGGAGGUCACUGUGUAGAAGAUAUUACCAAGGAGAGAAACGGAACAGGGAGAGGAUAGAUGAAUAAAAACAAGUCAAUGAGGUUGGCUUUGAGAGGCCAGCUCCUGGCAUCUGGUGACACCAGGUUAUAUGAAGACACAUCAGUUUCUCCUAUCAGCUAAGGGCCCUUUCCAGGGGCUGACACUGUCAUGAAAUCAUCCUUCAAAUGGGACUUCAGGGAGAUACAAGUCUGGUUUUGUGACGCCCACAGGGAGUACCUGAUGUUCUCAAUUCUGAAAACAAAGGCAAUUUCAUUUUAUUUGAAUGAAAAACUAAAUUUAUGCCUCUCACAGCA